This 492-nucleotide ribosomal RNA is filed under the name uncultured bacterium. Its description in RNAcentral is "bacterial SSU rRNA". It matches the Rfam family "Bacterial small subunit ribosomal RNA", at positions 33 to 507 of the family's 1533-position model. The record is from RNAcentral.
ACGCUGGCGGCGUGCCUAAUACAUGCAAGUCGAGCGAACAGAUGAAGUGCUUGCACUUCUGACGUUAGCGGCGAACGGGUGAGUAACACGUAAGGAAUCUACCUAUAAGCGGGGGAUAACAUUCGGAAACGGGUGCUAAUACCGCAUAAUAUCUUCUUCCGCAUGGAAGAAGAUUGAAAGACGGCUCUGCUGUCACUUAUAGAUGACCUUGCGGUGCAUUAGUUAGUUGGUGGGGUAAUGGCCUACCAAGACGAUGAUGCAUAGCCGACCUGAGAGGGUGAUCGGCCACAUUGGGACUGAGACACGGCCCAAACUCCUACAGGAGGCAGCAGUAGGGAAUCUUCCGCAAUGGGCGAAAGCCUGACGGAGCAAUGCCGCGUGAGUGAAGAAGGCCUUCGGGUCGUAAAACUCUGUUAUAAGAGAAGAACAAAUUGUAGAGUAACUGCUACAGUCUUGACGGUAUCUUAUCAGAAAGCCACGGCUAACUACGUG